RNAcentral lists this long non-coding RNA (1499 nucleotides) under Homo sapiens (human). RNAcentral's name for it is "HSALNT0197972". The record is from RNAcentral. Lineage: Eukaryota; Metazoa; Chordata; Mammalia; Primates; Hominidae.
AAAGGCAGGGGUUGGGGGUGGAUCCUUCACAAAUGGACAUUUGAGUAAAUGCUGGAAUGAGUUCAGACAUUGGGAGACUGUAGAGAAUGCAUCAUUGUAUUUUGCAGUAUAAGAAGGAUAUGAAAUUGGGGACCACGGGGAGAAUAAUAUGAUUUGGCUCUGUGUCCCUACCAAAACUCAUGUGGAAUGUAAUGGGGAAUGUUAAAUGUGGGGCUUGGUAGAAGGUGAUUUAAUCAUGGUAGAGAAUGGGGGUUGGAAGGUGGAUGUGGGAGAAUGGGGGUGCAUGGUAUGGGUGGGGGUGAAACGUGGGGGUGGGUGGCAGAUCCUUCACAAAUGGUUAAAUACUAUCUCCUUAAUGCAGUCUGUGUGAUAGUGAGUUCUCAUGGUAAAUGAAUGCUGUCCUGCUGGGUUUUGGACUCGGAUUGGGCCUGUGUCCCAUUUGUGUUAUUUUUCUGGGAAAAUCUUCCCUUUGGAUUGAGAAAGCUUACCCAGUGCCUGUGCCAUCAUUGUAACUUGAAAGAAAAGAAUUGUCUUUCACAUUCAGGGACUCAUAGGCAGAAGGGAUUGCAGCCUUGUCUUGGAUGAGACUUGAACUUACUACAUUUGAGUUACUGCUGGAAUGAGUUAAGACUUUUGGAAACUUUUGAAAAGGUAUUUUUGUAUUUUUCUGUGUGAGAAGGACAUGAGAUUUGGAGGUGUCAGGGUCAGAACAAUAUGGUUUGGCUGUGUUUCCCCACAAAAACUUAUGGGGAAUUGUAUUCCUGACUGUUGUAGGUGGGGCCUGGUGGGAGGUGAUUUAAUCACAAACGGGAGGUUGGUAGGGGUGGAAGGGAAAACAAGUUGGUAGGGGUGGAAGGAAAAACAAGUAGGUAGGGUGGGGAGGAGUAGGCUGGCAGUAGGGUGGUGAGAGGGUGGUGGGCAGUAGGAAGAGGGAGUAGCCUGCUGCAGAGGCAGAGCCUCAUGGAAAACCUCUACCGGGGCAGUGCACUUGUGGCUUUGCAGGCUUUAGCCCCCAUGGCUGCCCUCGUGGGCUGGGCUGGUGUUGAGUGCCUGUAGCUUUUCCAUACUGAGAAUGCAAGCUGUUGGUGGGUCUAUGAAUAUGUGGUCUGGUGGAUGGUAACCUCCUGCGUGCGGCCUCCAAGCCCAUAUAUUUUUUCUGCACUGUCCUAGUAGAGGUUUUCCAAGAGGCUCUGCCUCUGCCUGAGGCUUCUGCCUGGAAACAGUGGGGGGUGGGGGUGGUAGGGGGCAGAUCUUUCACCAAUGGUUAAGCAACAUCUUCUUGAUGCUGACCUUGUAAUACGGAGUUCUCAGGAAAUCUGGUUGUAUAACAGGGUUACACAACGUGUGGCACAUUUUUCCUCUCUCUGUCUUUUUUCUACUUCUGCCAUAUAAAACUUCCCAUUGCUGCUUGGUCUUCUGGUAUGAUUGGGAGGCUUCCUGAGUCCUCCCAGAAGCAGAAGCCUCUAUGAUUUAUUUAAAGCUUGCAGAACCAUGAGCCA